AUACAGGGGGUGCGAGCGUUAAUCGGAAUUACUGGGCGUAAAGAGUACGUAGGCGGUUGCUUAAGUCAGAUGUGAAAGCCCCGGGCUCAACCUGGGAACUGCAUUUGAAACUGAGUGACUAGAGUUUAAGAGAGGGGAGUAGAAUUCCGGGUGUAGCGGUGAAAUGCGUAGAGAUCCGGAGGAAUACCAGUGGUGAAGGCGGCUCCCUGGCUUAAAACCGACGCUGAGGUACGAAAGCGUGGGUAGCAAACAGGAUUAGAAACCCUAGUAGUCC
This 274-nucleotide ribosomal RNA is filed under the name uncultured bacterium. RNAcentral describes it as "partial 16S ribosomal RNA". It matches the Rfam family "Bacterial small subunit ribosomal RNA", at positions 523 to 796 of the family's 1533-position model. The record is from RNAcentral.